AUCCUACGGGGGGCAGCAGUGAGGAAUAUUGGUCAAUGGACGGGAGUCUGAACCAGCCAAGCAGCGUGAGGGAUGACUGCCCUAUGGAUUGUAAACUUCUUUUAUAAAGGAAUAAAACGAGGCACGUGUGCCUGGUUGCAUGUACUUUAUGAAUAAGGAUCGGCUAACUCCGUGCCAGCAGCCGCGGUAAUACGGAGGAUCCGAGCGUUAUCCGGAUUUAUUGGGUUUAAAGGGAGCGUAGAUGGGUUGUUAAGUCAGUUGUGAAAGUUUGGGGCUCAACCGUAAAAUGUCGAUUGAUACGGGCG
Molecule: ribosomal RNA, 305 nt
Filed under: uncultured bacterium
Lineage: Bacteria
Description: bacterial SSU rRNA
Rfam family: Bacterial small subunit ribosomal RNA
Source: RNAcentral